AGACUUGAGAGAAAGAGAUGGGGAGCAAUUGCUCCAAAGGGAGGAGAGAAGAUAGGGACACAACCGCUUUCUCCAAAAAUAAACGUUUGUCUUGGAGAAGAAAAAAGGGGAACACUGAAGGGAGGAUCUCAGAUGACAACAGUCUCAUUGGUGGAGAAACGACCUGUCAACAAAGUCUUCCUAGCCAACAAUCCCCGUUCUCCCCAGCAUACAAUCCCCAGUUUUCCCUCACAGCUGAGGGUGGAAGCAAUCUAUGUGCCCCAGUGAUCAGCAAUAAUGAAGUAGGAGGUAGCAUCAACAUCACUCAGAACAUCACUCAGAACAUCAUUCAGAACAAAAAUGACUCCUCCCAGGUUGCACAAUGCAGUGACACACAAAAAA
Long non-coding RNA from Salvelinus namaycush (lake trout), 381 nucleotides. RefSeq lists it as uncharacterized. The transcript is spliced from 3 exons. Lineage: Eukaryota; Metazoa; Chordata; Actinopteri; Salmoniformes; Salmonidae. The record is from RefSeq and is a predicted model, not a curated record.